UACGUAGGGUGCAAGCGUUGUCCGGAAUUAUUGGGCGUAAAGGGCUCGUAGGCGGUCCAUCGCGUCGGGAGUGAAAAGCUGGGGCUUAACCCCAGUCCUGCUUCCGAUACGGGUGGACUAGAGGUAGGUAGGGGAGAACGGAAUUCCUGGUGUAGCGGUGAAAUGCGCAGAUAUCAGGAGGAACACCGGCGGCGAAGGCGGGUCUCUGGGCCGAUACUGACGCUGAGGAGCGAAAGCGUGGGGAGCGAACAGG
RNAcentral lists this ribosomal RNA (253 nucleotides) under uncultured bacterium. Its description in RNAcentral is "partial 16S ribosomal RNA". It matches the Rfam family "Bacterial small subunit ribosomal RNA", at positions 524 to 776 of the family's 1533-position model. The record is from RNAcentral.